Labrus bergylta (ballan wrasse) is the source of this 124-nucleotide non-coding RNA. The record is from RefSeq and is a predicted model, not a curated record. NCBI's taxonomy places the organism in Eukaryota, Metazoa, Chordata, Actinopteri, Labriformes, Labridae.
GCUGGACUGGAGGAUCCACACUGCAGACUGGAGACACUGAGGUUGUCCCUGGAGAGGGCAGUUAAGGUGCUGGAGUUGGAGGAGGAGGAAGCUACAAAAAACUGCCCGGUAGAGAAAGGUUUAA